UUGGCCAUACAAAACGGUAAGGACAGUUAGAAGAAGAAAAGGCCUUUAUUAGUAUAAAGGCCUUUUCUUCUUCUAACUGUCCUUACCGUUUUGUAAGGAAACA
This 103-nucleotide microRNA precursor is filed under the name Xyrichtys novacula (pearly razorfish). Lineage: Eukaryota; Metazoa; Chordata; Actinopteri; Labriformes; Labridae. The record is from RNAcentral.